GAUGAAGAACGCAGCGAAAUGCGAUACGUAAUGUGAAUUGCAGAAUUCAGUGAAUCAUCGAAUCUUUGAACGCAUAUUGCGCUCUUUGGUAUUCCGAAGAGCAUGCUUGUUUGAGUAUCAGUAAACACCUCAAAGCUUUUGGAUUUUUUAAUCGAAAAGCUUUGGACUUGAGCAAUCCCAACACCAAUCUUUUUGAGAUCGGUGGCGGGUUGCUUGAAAUGCAGGUGCAGCUGGACAUUCUCCUGAGAUAAAAGCAUAUUCAUUUAGUCCCGUCAAACGGAUUAUUACUUUUGCUGCAGCUAACAUAAAGGGAGUUUGACCGUAUUGGCUGACUGAUGCAGGAUUUCACAAGGGUCGGCAACGAUUCUUGUUAAACUCGAUCUCAAAACAAGUAAGACUACCCGCUGAACUUAAGCAUAUCAAUAAGCGGAGGA
This 434-nucleotide unclassified non-coding RNA is filed under the name soil metagenome. Its description in RNAcentral is "partial contains 5.8S ribosomal RNA, internal transcribed spacer 2, and large subunit ribosomal RNA". The stretch from base 1 to 120 matches the Rfam family "5.8S ribosomal RNA", at positions 35 to 154 of the family's 154-position model. The record is from RNAcentral.